UCCAUCUCAAAAUGUAAUCCAAUAAUGGCGCGGUUACCAAGAAAGAUAAAUUACCAAUGAAAUAAACACUACUAAUGACUCAUUUGCAUACAUUAAGAAUGUGACAGCCCCACCUCUCCCUAAGGCGAACCAAAGGGUUCGGCAGGCCGCCUGCCCAACUCUCGCCGGGACUCAGUCGUUUACUACAGUCCUCAAUUAAAUUACAAUAUAAAAAUCAAAUAUCCAUCAAACUUUUGAAGAAUUACAUAUCACAAACCCGCUCAAGUCCAAACGUUCAUACAAUCCCUAAUAACAACUAUUACACAAGAUGAAAUCCAAAACUCAAACCAUACAUGAGAUAAUCCAUCCGGUCACAUGAAUACGUGCUACAAGCACUUCCUUCGUCUCGAGCCCUGUGGAGGGAAAUAAAACAUUUUUGGGGGUGAGCUAAAAGCUCAGCGAGUAACCAAUAAAAUCCGUAAGCAAAUCAGUUUCGCAGUCGUUCAUUUCAGUGAUGUCAUGAUUCCAAGAUCAAAUGUACAUUUAUUGCUCUCGUGAGCCAGUGAAAUCGUUGUACUUAAACACCCAACGCUCCAAACAAACAUUUAACAGUAAACAGUCAAAGGGGAAGCCAUUUGCUCCAGAUGAACAGUACACAGAGGUGGAGACGUUGGUGUUCAGUACCCGAAUUCCAAGUACUCAUUUAAGCCAAACGAUGUCAUGGGCCACAUGCAAGCACUCAUGAUAUGCAAUCAAGUAAAUAGUGCAAGAAACGGUUCAUAAGUAACUUUGGAAAUAGUUUAGGGUCACUCACCUCCACGGCUCAGAACCCAUCCGUCAUAUACCAUUAUCUUGUCCGAAUCCAAGCCCUAAACCCGAAAACAAAUUUGAUGUCAUUUAGCGGUUUUGGCACCAUUGGCACUACGAUUAUCGGAUGGAGGUGUAAGAUACACCGUUUCGAAGCUAAGAGAUAGAGCUACAAUAUUCCAGAAGGUCACUCAGUCCAGUUUGCAAUGUAUCUAAGUCAAAAUUGAAAUAUACGAAACCAGAAUCUCACAAACAGGUUGGCUAACUGCACAAUUGUUAAACAGCAAUAACUCAGGCUACCGAAGUCCGACUGAAGUGUAUCUUAUGGUGUGUCGAAGCUAAAACACAACCCUACAUUUCUUAUGAAGACCUCCAAGGACAAAUCAUGCAUUUUCAUGAUCCAAAAUGGAAAACUACACGAAAAUAGAAUUCUCGGCGCGAAACAGGUUUCAUGGACAGUCAAUGGUAUUUCGGUCAUUUCACAUGCUACAGUGGUUAGAUCAAGCUGAACUUUUGUAGGCAACUAGUUUAUACCCUUGGCUACAACUUUCAUGUUUUGGUCAAAAUCUAAUUCGGUAAGGAUCAUGGUAAAAAGUCACGAUCAGAUUGGGCGAAAAGACAACCCUGUUCGCUGAACUCCUACCUAGACCAGUCUGGGUAUUUCUGACUUAUCUCAGCAUAUACCACUCCAAUUCAAGUGAUUCCAAAGCCAUUUGAAAGCUAAGAUACAAGGCUAUAAUUCUUAAGAAGACAUCAACAACCAAAUCGGUAGUAUUCCCAGUCAAACUACCCAAUUACCAAAGCUGAUUACUAUUCUCGGAUAGAAACAGGAUAGCAGGGGUAUUUUGGUCUUUUUAUAGGAUACCGAGCUCAGAUUGAGCUGAAAAUUUACAGGUAACUAGAAACCAUCAUUCUCUACAACUUUCAUGUUUUGUGCUAAGGCCAAUUCGGCCUCUAACCUGGUCAAACAGAAACGGGAAGAAUAGGGAAAAAAAUUGAAACCCUAAACUGGAAUUCAUGCAUUCAAGUACUAAUCUUCGACAAAAACAUCUCUUUAGCUAUUACAAGUCAUUAAUUUAACAAAAUCAAGAACAAAGAAAGGAUGGCUAGACAUGAUACCUUGGAAUAUCAAGAAAGGUAAUGGCAUAGGGAUUUUUCUUCCAAAACAACUCCACCAAUAGCUUCAAUCUUCCUUAGCUAGCAAGUUUUAUGGAGUGAUUUGCAAUUUAAUCGGUUGGAACUCAAGAUUUGAGCAAGAAUUGAAGUUGAAGUUGAAGAAAAUCUCUCUUGUUCUUUCCUCACCAAAAAUUUCAGCCAAGACAAUAAAAAUGGAAGAAAUUGGGUCAAAAUUUGGUUUAGUAAAGCUUAAGACAAGUCCAAGUCAAAGUCAAGGUCCAAUAGUUAGGUGACAAAUGGUCCUCUAGGAUUUUAAUCUCAUCCUUUUGUCUCUCCAAGAUUAAACCAUCUAAGUAACCUCUAAUUAUCUCUUAGCACCUUGUAAAAUAAUAUCACUUAAUACAAAACUCCAAUAAGUUAUCAAAAAUAUAUUGCAUUUACCGCACUAGCGGGUCCCACGUCCGGUAUACGCUCUUAAUUUCUCAAAAACUAACCGGUACUAGGAAAAUCAUCUAAACACUAUAUUCACUCAAUAAAAAUUAUUUGGGGAAAUUUUCUAAUAAAGAAAAUGUCGAAAAGGCGGGCGAUCAAUAAAAUAAACCCUAGAAACUUAGAAAAUUUCCGAGUUCUCGCACUCAUUCUUUCGGGCGUCACAAAGAAUCUCUCAAGUCCGAUCAAUACAUUAUGGAAUUUCAAGGGUCCAAGAGUAAAUAAGUGUCAAUGAGUGGUUUAAAUUGCAUUUUAGGACCCAAAAGCAACCAUUAACCAAUCCAUCAAGGCCAAUUAAGACAUUUUAGGAACUUCAAGGAUCUCAAAAUAAUAAAUGGCCAAAUGACGGUUCAAAUUGCAAUCAACUUUGGACUGAAUCGCAAGAAAUUGGAAUGUAAUUGGGCCACAGUGCAACAAAGGGAGACUUGGAGGGUCAAAAUGCAAAACUCAGAAUUUUUCCAUGCAUGCAUACGAAUAGCUUUCUUCAUUUCUGGUCGCUAUGUUUCUGCAAAUGCUUCUCACUAGUCACCCAAACAUCUUAAACAAGGCUUUAAACUCGACAUUUAUUAGCUUCCUUAAGACCAUCAUCAUGCGCAAAAACUAAUCAUGCAAAACGAAAUGAAACAAAGCAGAGAGUGGCCAUAGGAUCAGAUUUCUUGCUGCAAAUUUCUGCAACUAAUUCAUGCAAAACUACGGUGGAAGCUUCUGCAAAAACUCUCGGCAGCUGCUAAGAAAAUUCUGCAAUAAACUAGCUACCAACUUUCAUUUUUCAAGCACGGAUCUUAGCCUCAAAACACAACUUCGAACGGAAACAAACUCAAACAAACAUCAAAACAUUGAUCUAAACCAAAACCCCGCUGGAUCUUAGCAUUUAAACAUACAAAAAGAAGCUCAACCCAGCGGCUGUUUCGAGAAAGAAAAUGGUGAAGAAAAUGCAGACAGCUUUUAGUUUCUUAUACACUUUUAACACACCAAGGAAAUGAUUUAAUGCAGUUCCCUAUUUGUCCAAAACCUGAAAUGAAAGAAUAUGAAGCAGAGGAGAGGGGAGGCACUCAAUCAGACACUCUCGGACACAAAGUGCAGAAAGGCAACGUGAAAUGGCUGCUCAAAUAUGCAAAAUUCGAGACUAGCAAUUCCUACCCAAUUUCCAAACCAACAAAACCCAUGUUAUCUAAGCCUUUUAUUGCUAAAAUCCAUUGUCAACAUCGCAAAAACACCAAAGAAACAGCAAUCAAGGAAGCUUUAGGAAUCCAAACACGACAAAAAAUCAUAAAACUGAAAGUUUUCUGCAGUUUUUUCUGGUUUUUGCUCAUUCGAACACCACUGAUAGCUUCAAUCAACGAAACAUGAAUCAAAGUUACAACAUAACCGCACAUUCUCCCCUUUAAAAACACAAGAACUUUCUCAUAUUUAAAUACGAAAUUUAGAGGAAAAAGGCCUGCAGAAAUCUGAAAAAAUUUCUACAAUUUCCUUUUCGGCAAAUCUGAAGAUUAAACCAUCGGCUAAAGGAAACUAGAAAUGAUUUCUAUAUCCUGGGUUCCAUGACCUAUAACAAACACGAUUCAAACACGAAGAUAUAGCCAAAACAAAUUACCGAACAGGGAUAUAGCCAAAACCAGAGAGGAAACCACGAAGACAGGAGAACAAAACAUGGCGUGCACAAAGAAGAAAUUCAUGCAAUGAAACCCAGAUCUUCCCAAAUGGUAUGAAAAAAGACAGCAAGAAAGGCUAGAAUCACCUGCAAACGUUGGUGAAAUAAAUCAGCCGUGAGAAACUCAAAAAAAAGGGCGCUGGUCUCCGGAAAACAACGCUCAGGCAGAUCAGCGGCAGCAGUAUUGGAGAAUCCUUGCUUUUUCUUUUCCUUUGUUGAUGACUUUCUCAACCGUAUCUCUCUCUCUCUCUCUCACUAUUUCUCAAUCUACUCUGUUUUCCCUUAGUUUCUUUGCCCUCUGUUCUUGCCUUUCUUCCUAUCUAGUCGACCACCAUCUGAGUUCCUUACUUCCUCCGCUGUCCCUUUUUCCUCUCAGCCGUCACCCUCUCUUCCUCACUCUAUCUCCCUUGGUUAACUUCCUCAGCCGUUGUUUUUUUUUCUCUCUGUUCCUAGAACCUCACGCUGCUCUCCUCUUUUGCCGUCAAAAAACCUCUUCUUGCUUUUACCCGUAGCCUUUUUCUUUUCUUUUUUUUUCUGAAGUUUCUCCCGAUCCCUCUCUUACUCCCCAGAUUUUUCUCUCUGUCGGCUGCUGCUAAAUGCCAAAAC
RNAcentral lists this long non-coding RNA (4648 nucleotides) under Coffea arabica (coffee). RNAcentral describes it as "long non-coding RNA (CARA_LNC008189)". The record is from RNAcentral. Lineage: Eukaryota; Viridiplantae; Streptophyta; Magnoliopsida; Gentianales; Rubiaceae.